Molecule: long non-coding RNA, 953 nt
Organism: Gadus chalcogrammus (walleye pollock)
Lineage: Eukaryota; Metazoa; Chordata; Actinopteri; Gadiformes; Gadidae
Exons: 3
Source: RefSeq, a predicted model, not a curated record
AGCGCGAGUUGCACAUUAUUCAACAGCGCCCCCUCGGGUCACACUUUUCGGUGGGUCGCAGAAUUCGGUGUAACAACGGGACUCACUGCACGCAUAUGUGACGUUCGGCUCAGCUGCACUUGGAGGUUAUGAUGCAUCACUCGAUUUUUAGGGAUGAUUCAAAGCCAGAAGUCAAAUGCUGCACAACUUGCUGCACACUUUUCCACUGCCCCCUAUGCCCAACUUUUAAACCAACCGUAAACACGAAGCUUCAGUGCCACCUGGAAUCCCACAUAAAACAUUCCAUUACAUUUAAAGAAUGCAGGUUUGCUCAGGGGGAAGGUGGUCGAGCCCGCAUUUCCGAAUAUGGACGCAAAAGAACAGCAGGAGCUCCUGGAAAGGAUACGUUCUUCAACUGAUGAAGAAGAAAAGUAUCCCCUGCUCUUCACAUUUGAUUUUCAGGAAGACAUGGAGGUCUUCCUUAACAUGGCAGCUGAGGAGGAUCUUCGGGUCAACGCCAUGUUUCUGGGUCGCUGGGUGGACAGCCAGUGACAUUGCUGUGUGUGUGUGUGUGUGUGUGUGUGUGUGUGUGUGUGUGUGUGUGUGUGUGUGUGUGUGUGUGUGUGUGUGUGUGUGUGUGUGUGUGUGUGUGUGUGUGUGUGUGUGUGUGAGUUCAGUUAUCUGUUGAGUGUUCUUAAUAAAGUGUUAUAACGUUUACAAUGUAUAGAUUUUUUGUAUGACUUUACUUAUUCACUUUGGUAACACACAGAGCUAAGUUAAAACACAGACUUGAGUUUGUCGUAUUUAAAUAUGGGCAAAUAAGGUGGUCCAGCAGCACAAGGUAAGACAAUAUUAUAGACAAUUAGAGCCAGAUAUUAAAUGAAUGAUGGUUCAGAGUAAGAAUUUAGGAAUGCAAAAGUGCUAAUAACAUAUGAUAAAUUAUGUUGGAAUGCAGUCAAACCUUAUGAUAUUAA